UGGGGAAUCUUAGACAAUGGGGGAAACCCUGAUCUAGCCAUGCCGCGUGAGCGAUGAAGGCCUUAGGGUUGUAAAGCUCUUUCAGCUGGGAAGAUAAUGACGGUACCAGCAGAAGAAGCCCCGGCUAACUCCGUGCCAGCAGCCGCGGUAAUACGGAGGGGGCUAGCGUUGUUCGGAAUUACUGGGCGUAAAGCGCACGUAGGCGGAUUAGUCAGUCAGAGGUGAAAUCCCAGGGCUCAACCCUGGAACUGCCUUUGAUACUGCUAGUCUUGAGGUCGAGAGAGGUGAGUGGAAUUCCGAGUGUAGAGGUGAAAUUCGUAGAUAUUCGGAGGAACACCAGUGGCGAAGGCGGCUCACUGGCUCGAUACUGACGCCGAGGUGCGAAAGCGUGGGGAGCAAAACAGGAUUAGAUACCCUGGUAGUCCACGCCGUAAACGAUGAAUGCCAGUCGUCGGGUUGCAUGCAAUUCGGUGACACACCUAACGGAUUAAGCAUUCCGCCUGGGGAGUACGGUCGCAAGAUUAAAACUCAAAGGAAAUUGACGGGGUC
RNAcentral lists this ribosomal RNA (549 nucleotides) under uncultured bacterium. RNAcentral describes it as "partial 16S ribosomal RNA". It matches the Rfam family "Bacterial small subunit ribosomal RNA", at positions 355 to 920 of the family's 1533-position model. The record is from RNAcentral.